GCCCGCACAAGCGGUGGAGCAUGUGGUUUAAUUCGAUGCAACGCGAAGAACCUUACCUACUCUUGACAUCCAGAGAACUUUCCAGAGAUGGAUUGGUGCCUUCGGGAACUCUGAGACAGGUGCUGCAUGGCUGUCGUCAGCUCGUGUUGUGAAGUGUUGGGUUAAGUCCCGCAACGAGCGCAACCCUUAUCCUUUGUUGCCAGCGGUCCGGCCGGGAACUCAAAGGAGACUGCCAGUGAUAAACUGGAGGAAGGUGGGGAUGACGUCAAGUCAUCAUGGCCCUUACGAGUAGGGCUACACACGUGCUACAAUGGCGCAUACAAAGAGAAGCGAACUCGCGAGAGCAAGCGGACCUCAUAAAGUGCGUCGUAGUCCGGAUUGGAGUCUGCAACUCGACUCCAUGAAGUCGGAAUCGCUAGUAAUCGUAGAUCAGAAUGCUACGGUGAAUACGUUCCCGGGCCCUGUACACACCGCCCGUCACACCAUGGGAGUGGGUUGCAAAAGAAGUAGGUAGCUUAACCUUCGGGAGGGCGCUUACCACUUUGUGAUUCAUGACUGGGGUGAAGUCGUAACAAGGUA
This 579-nucleotide ribosomal RNA is filed under the name uncultured Enterobacter sp. RNAcentral describes it as "bacterial SSU rRNA". It matches the Rfam family "Bacterial small subunit ribosomal RNA", at positions 919 to 1498 of the family's 1533-position model. Lineage: Bacteria; Pseudomonadati; Pseudomonadota; Gammaproteobacteria; Enterobacterales; Enterobacteriaceae. The record is from RNAcentral.